CUGGAUAUCUGGUUGGCUGGCAUAUUGCUGGGUGUAAUGAUGGAGUACCAACGAGUGAGCCUUGCAGACAAACAGUCGGUAAUAACGGACGUGUAAGCAGAUGCACCGCUGGCUAUGACGUGUUUUGUGGGGAGACGUCGCGAGCCAAAAUGGAAUGAUCCAAUCGUCAAUGAGCUUCCUGCUGGGAAGCAGGUGCAGCUCAACGACGUGCAUCAUGUCUGCCUGAAACGGAGGUAUCAGUGUGUCUUUCAGUGACCGAGUUAGCAAUCUGUCUGUCUGACACUGGGGUGGCAAUCUGUCAGUCUGACACUUAGGUAGCCGUCUGUCUGUCACUGAGGUAGCGAUCUGUCCGUCAGUCACUGAGGUAGCGAUCUGUCCGUCAGUCCCUGAGGUAGUGAUCUGUCCGUCAGAACCUGAGGUGGAGAUCUGUCUGCCUGACACUGAGGUAGAAAUCUGUCUGUCUAACAUUGUGGUAGCAAUGUGUCUGCUUGACACUGAGUUAGGAAUCUGUCUGUCUGCACUGAGGAAGCAAAGAAAUAGAGAAAAUGGAAAAUCAAGCAAAAUCCUAGACAAGCACAAACACCAAAUUCCCGGAGCAGAGCCGCCGGACUCACGCCAGGGGCAGCCGGGCCACAGGCAGCCCGGCCGCAGACCGGGGAGCCCGGCCGCAGGCAGCCCUCAGCCGGGGAGCCCGCAGCCGGGGAGCCCGCAGCCGGGGAGCCCGCAGUCGGGGAGCCCGCAGUCGGGGAGCCCGCAGUCGGGGAGCUGCCGGGCCCAUGUCCCAUUAUGUUCAACAAAAUGGGACAAUGAUAUCCAUAUGUUCCACUCCAGUUUGAAGGAGAUCAUAUAGGCCACUGCCACCACAGAGCCCAUCCCUCCACCUCAGGCACCUCCUCUGCAUUGGUAGCCUUAAGCCCCCCAACCCCCAGGAAGAUUGACAGAUUAACCAUCCACUGAUAGUUUAAAACCGACCCCUUUGAAAAAGUUAUUAAUAAAAGGUGAUGGUUGAUGCCUUUUUGAAAGAUGGAAGAUUAGUUCCAUUGUAUCACUCUUUCUUGUUUGUAUGAUAUGUAUGUUUAACUUGGAUGGCUACUACCUGAAGUUCUAUGUUUAUUCUGGUUUGAUAUAUUAUGUUGAUCCUGUAUAAUGUUUGAUACAAAAUAAAGUGCAAUAUUGCAGUUUCUAACAGAUA
This is a long non-coding RNA of Gadus morhua (Atlantic cod), 1192 nucleotides long. RefSeq lists it as uncharacterized. NCBI's taxonomy places the organism in Eukaryota, Metazoa, Chordata, Actinopteri, Gadiformes, Gadidae. The record is from RefSeq and is a predicted model, not a curated record. The transcript has 2 exons.